Molecule: ribosomal RNA, 253 nt
Filed under: uncultured bacterium
Lineage: Bacteria
Description: partial 16S ribosomal RNA
Rfam family: Bacterial small subunit ribosomal RNA
Source: RNAcentral
CACGUAGGAGGCAAGCGUUAUCCGGAUUUACUGGGCGUAAAGCGCGUGUAGGCGGCUCGGAUAGUUGGAUGUGAAAGCUCCUGGCUUAACUGGGAGAGGUCGUUCAAUACUUCCGGGCUUGAGAGUGGUAGAGGGAGGUGGAAUUCCGAGUGUAGUGGUGAAAUGCGUAGAUAUUCGGAGGAACACCAGUGGCGAAAGCGGCCUCCUGGACCAUUUCUGACGCUCAGACGCGAAAGCUAGGGUAGCAAACGGG